UCAAAUUGGUUGUAUUUUGGAAUCUGCUUAGCCGCAGGUCCUCGCCUUCGGGUGGGGAUGCGCGAGGCACUCACCAAGUGUUGCGCGUUCCGCAUAUGUCGUGCCAGCUCGCCAGUGCACUUUCGCAGAGUGUUCACCACGACCGGCAUUGCUGUCUGGCUGUUGUGGUUAAACCGGCCUUUCUUUGCUUUCAUGGCUUAGGAUUGUCGGGAUGGCAGGUAGCUCGCCAGCUGAGCCUGUAGCUUGCUGCAGGUUUGGCUCUCGGGUGUUAUCAGCUGACCGCAUCGGUACUGUGCAGUAUGUCGGAGACGGCGGCUUGUGGUACAUGCGUGCGUACUAGUUGGUUGGCGUGCCCGGGUUUGGUUGUUACGUUGCCUGUGUUUACAGGCCUGAUGAUAGCCCGGGUUCGUUCGGCCGGCGGUUGCGUGCGUAGUGCUUUCCAGGGCCAAUAGUCUGUGGUGUUGCGGUAGACUAUCCACCCGACCCGUCUUGAAACACGGACCAAGGAGAGUAACAUGUGCGCGAGUCAUUGGGCGUAACGAAACCCAAAGGCGAAGUGAAAGUAAAGGUCUGGCUUGUCUGGACUGAGGUGAGAUCCUGUCGUUUCCCACGCGCGGUAUUACCAAGCAUCGAGCGGCAGGCGCAUCACCGGCCCGUCCCAUGGUGUGGUGACUUCCUUCGGGGGGUUCGUCACCGGGGCGGAGCAUGAGCGUACAUGUUGAGACCCGAAAGAUGGUGAACUAUGCUUGCGCAGGUUGAAGCCAGAGGAAACUCUGGUGGAGGACCGCAGCGAUUCU
Molecule: ribosomal RNA, 797 nt
Filed under: Oligogonotylus manteri
Lineage: Eukaryota; Metazoa; Platyhelminthes; Trematoda; Opisthorchiida; Cryptogonimidae
Description: eukaryotic LSU rRNA
Rfam family: Eukaryotic large subunit ribosomal RNA
Source: RNAcentral